GAUGAAGAACGUAGUGAAAUGCGAUAAGUAAUGUGAAUUGCAGAAUUCAGUGAAUCAUCGAAUCUUUGAACGCACAUUGCGCCCGCCAGUAUUCUGGCGGGCAUGCCUGUUCGAGCGUCAUUUCAACCAUCAAGCCCCAGGCUUGUGUUGGGGACCUGCGGCUGCCGCAGGCCCUGAAAACCAGUGGCGGGCUCGCUGUCACACCGGGCGUAGUAGAUUUUAUCUCGCUCAGGGCGUGCUGCGGGUUCCGGCCGUUAAAAAGCCUUUUUUACCCACGGUUGACCUCGGAUCAGGUAGGAAGCCCCGCUGAACUUAAGCAUAUCAAUCCGCGGAGGA
RNAcentral lists this unclassified non-coding RNA (336 nucleotides) under soil metagenome. Its description in RNAcentral is "partial contains 5.8S ribosomal RNA, internal transcribed spacer 2, and large subunit ribosomal RNA". The stretch from base 1 to 120 matches the Rfam family "5.8S ribosomal RNA", at positions 35 to 154 of the family's 154-position model. The record is from RNAcentral.